AUGAUUUUCUUGCUGCUAAUCAAUAGUCAUGAUGCAUACCUUGAUGUUGGGCAGGGUCAUGAAGUUCUUGGAGAGAUGGACAACAAGCUUGUCCAUGAAAGCAGGAGCGAUGUAGAAGCCUCCCAUGGUGUUGUCGAAGUCGUACUUCUUGAGUCCCUGGCUGACGUACUCGUAGGAGCUGAGGACGGCCUCGUGGGUGCCGUCGCCCGUGGGCGCCUGGAAGAGGGAGUCCACGAUGCCCUUCCCUCUGGUGAUGUCCUGCUGGUCGUCGGAGAUAUCGUAGGCAAGACCCUUCCACUUGUCUGUGUUCCUCUUCUCGUCGAUGUUUUCCGCUGCCAUGACUGUGAACCUGUUGGCCUUGGAGCUCUUGCCAUGGUAGUUCACGGCCGAGGUCACCUGCUUCUUGAGCUUCUUCCCGAGGAAGUUGGUCGGCGUAGAAGCCUGUAUACAUUACACACACACACACAUGAGACGCCGUUGAAGACAUUGAUACGAUAUCAUCACUAA
Molecule: ribosomal RNA, 507 nt
Filed under: Triticum aestivum (bread wheat)
Lineage: Eukaryota; Viridiplantae; Streptophyta; Magnoliopsida; Poales; Poaceae
Description: partial small subunit ribosomal RNA
Source: RNAcentral